RNAcentral lists this ribosomal RNA (253 nucleotides) under uncultured bacterium. Its description in RNAcentral is "partial 16S ribosomal RNA". It matches the Rfam family "Bacterial small subunit ribosomal RNA", at positions 524 to 776 of the family's 1533-position model. The record is from RNAcentral.
UACGGAAGGGGCAAGCGUUGUUCGGAAUCAUUGGGCGUAAAGGGCGUGUAGGUGGUUCUGUAUGUCUACCGUGAAAGCGUACGGCUCAACCGUAUUUAGUCGGUAGAAACUGCAGGACUUGAGGCUGGGAGGGGCUGGUGGAAUUCCCCGUGUAGCGGUGAAAUGCGUAGAGAUGGGGGAGAACACUCGUGGCGAAGGCGGCCAGCUAGACCAGUUCUGACACUGAGGCGCGACAGCGUGGGGAGCGAACAGG